GAUGAAGAACGCAGCGAAAUGCGAUACUUGGUGUGAAUUGCAGAAUCCCGUGAACCAUCGAGUCUUUGAACGCAAGUUGCGCCCGAAGCCACUAGGCCGAGGGCACGCCUGCCUGGGCGUCACACGUCGUUGCCCCCCCAUCUACUCCUUCGGGAUUGCGGGGGGCGGAUGAUGGCCUCCCGUGCGCCUCGCCGCGCGGUUGGCAUAAAUGCCAAGUCCUCGGCGACGCACGCCACGACAAUCGGUGGUUGCGAAACCUCGGUUGCCCGUCGUGUGCGGUCGUCGCGCAUCGAGGGCUCGAAAAAAUUGCCGGGUUCCGGCUCGGCUUUCAACGCGACCCCAGGUCAGGCGGGGUUACCCGCUGAAUUUAAGCAUAUCAAUAAGCGGAGGA
Molecule: unclassified non-coding RNA, 391 nt
Filed under: soil metagenome
Description: partial contains 5.8S ribosomal RNA, internal transcribed spacer 2, and large subunit ribosomal RNA
Rfam family: 5.8S ribosomal RNA (bases 1-122)
Source: RNAcentral